Plodia interpunctella (Indianmeal moth) is the source of this 1145-nucleotide long non-coding RNA. RefSeq lists it as uncharacterized. Lineage: Eukaryota; Metazoa; Arthropoda; Insecta; Lepidoptera; Pyralidae. The record is from RefSeq and is a predicted model, not a curated record. The transcript has 2 exons.
AUACGUUUAUUUCAUAUAUUAAUUUAUUUUAUAUAUUAAUUAUAAGCUACAAUGUAAUGUAAAUGAUGCAAUAUUGCUGACUUAUUUAAAGUGAAAAAUUGUGUAAAUAAAGAUAUUGUCAACAAUACAGUACCGCAAAAUCAGAAAGCGAUGCCCCGUUCGGUGUACUGUUAGAUCUAUGUACGCGAUUACUAUCGACCGGUCCAUAUUUAUACUCGCUCCGUACAGACUCUCAACCACAGUCGUUUUAUGCACUCUACUGAACAAACAUUGCACUUGUACUGCAAACAAACUGAUAAGCUACAAUGGCAGUAUACAAAAUUGUCGCGAUCAUCGCAGUAAUGGCCACUUUAACCGCAGCUCAGAGGCCGUUUUACGCCGGAUCUCUUCCCAUAGGUUACCCUCAACAGAGUGAUGUAUUUUCCAUCUCCAACCGUUUCGGCGAAGACGAAGCUGUACCCAUUCAGGUACUAAAUGACAGAAGGUUCACAACCACAGUCGAAAAACUACCGUUAGACAACAGACCUUUUUAUUAUAUAAACUGGCGAGAAUAUGAAAACUUCAGGAAACAGCCGCAAACCUGGCCACAAAAGCCCAAUAAUUUCAUCGAUAAAUAGAAGAAAAAUUUAACGGCAAAAGAAUGAAUCGUACGAAAUUUAAAUUUUUAGUGUCGCUCGGAACAAAGGGACGACUAUGAAAGGAAGAACAAAACGUAUAAAAUAAUUUGAUCUAGUUUAUCUAGAAAACCUGUUUUGAAAACCUUGAAAUGAUGUACUUAUCUAGUUAUUUUCGGAAAAAAAAUAGUUAAAUUCCUGGCAAGCUUAUGUGUGAGACGCUUUUAUUGUUAAUGGAGUUAACCUGUUUUAUCUGUAUGUUUACCUUUAGUGAGUUCUAGUUUAUUUUUUUCUUUUAUUUUAAACCAAUAUGUAUGCAAAUGUAGCCAGUCACAUUAAUUAUAAUGUCAGUCAUUGCAUUUAAUUGCAAUUUUUUUAUUAUAUUGGUAAUUAAUGUUAGUGAUAUCAACGUUAAUCACCAAUAUACUACUCGUAUUUAAUGACUUAAUUAUUACAUUUUUUAUUUUUUUAUUUUUAUUUAAGAUCAUUUUCAUGCAAUUUUAAUUUAAUAAAAAGCAUUUAAAUAAUUCA